This 455-nucleotide ribosomal RNA is filed under the name uncultured bacterium. RNAcentral describes it as "bacterial SSU rRNA". It matches the Rfam family "Bacterial small subunit ribosomal RNA", at positions 28 to 485 of the family's 1533-position model. The record is from RNAcentral.
GACGAACGCUGGCGGCGUGCUUAACACAUGCAAGUCGAGCGGUAAGGCCCUUUCGGGGGUACACGAGCGGCGAACGGGUGAGUAACACGUGGGUGACCUGCCCUCAGCUCUGGGAUAAGCCUGGGAAACUGGGUCUAAUACUGGAUAUGACUCCACGGUGCAUGUCGUGGGGUGGAAAGCCUUGUGCGGCUGAGGAUGGGCCCGCGGCCUAUCAGCUUGUUGGUGGGGNGAUGGCCUACCAAGGCGACGACGGGUAGCUGGCCUGAGAGGGCGACCGGCCACACUGGGACUGAGACACGGCCCAGACUCCUACGGGAGGCAGCAGUGGGGAAUCUUGCGCAAUGGCCUAACGGCUGACGCAGCGACGCCGCGUGUGGGAUGAAGCUCUUCGGAGUGUAAACCACUGUUGCCCGGGACGAACAGCUCGAUUAAUCGAGCCUGACGGUACCGGGUGA